Molecule: ribosomal RNA, 468 nt
Filed under: uncultured bacterium
Lineage: Bacteria
Description: partial 16S ribosomal RNA
Rfam family: Bacterial small subunit ribosomal RNA
Source: RNAcentral
GACGAACGCUGGCGGCGUGCUUAACACAUGCAAGUCGAACGGAAAGGCCCUGCUUUUGUGGGGUGCUCGAGUGGCGAACGGGUGAGUAACACGUGAGUAACCUGCCCUUGACUUUGGGAUAACUUCAGGAAACUGGGGCUAAUACCGGAUAGGAGCUCCUGCUGCAUGGUGGGGGUUGGAAAGUUUCGGCGGUUGGGGUUGGACUCGCGGCUUAUCAGCUUGUUGGUGGGGUAGUGGCUUACCAAGGCUUUGACGGGUAGCCGGCAUGAGAGGGUGACCGGCCACAUUGGGACUGAGAUACGGCCCAGACUGCUACGGGAGGCAGCAGUGGGGAAUAUUGCACAAUGGGCGGAAGCCUGAUGCAGCAACGCCGCGUGCGGGAUGACGGCCUUCGGGUUGUAAACCGCUUUCGCCUGUGACGAAGCGUGAGUGACGGUAAUGGGUAAAGAAGCACCGGCUAACUACGUG